RNAcentral lists this microRNA precursor (147 nucleotides) under Glycine max (soybean). RNAcentral's name for it is "miR5764 stem-loop (gma-MIR5764)". The record is from miRBase by way of RNAcentral. Lineage: Eukaryota; Viridiplantae; Streptophyta; Magnoliopsida; Fabales; Fabaceae.
UCACAGCACAACCAGUAUUCUUGUCCGCGGAAGGACCACCCCCGACGGCCAAAGAAAGAAGGAAACUCGAUCUCCUCGAGGAGAGAUUGAGGGUUGUUUAAGGCUUUGGUGACUAUCCAUUCGCGGACAUGAUGGAUCUUUGCUUGG